RNAcentral lists this transfer RNA (61 nucleotides) under Heterocephalus glaber (naked mole-rat). It matches the Rfam family "tRNA", at positions 6 to 65 of the family's 71-position model. Rfam says of the family: Transfer RNA (tRNA) molecules are approximately 80 nucleotides in length. Their secondary structure includes four short double-helical elements and three loops (D, anti-codon, and T loops). The record is from Rfam by way of RNAcentral. Lineage: Eukaryota; Metazoa; Chordata; Mammalia; Rodentia; Bathyergidae.
UGUAGCUUAGUGGUACAGCCUGUGUCUAGCAUGCACAAGGCCCUGGGUUUGAUACCCAGCA